GACUGUCUAAAAUCCUAUCCCUACCUCCUCGCGGUACUGGCCGGGGUACGGGCAACCUUAGGGAAGAUCGGAUAACCCCAGUUGGAACUUUGGUCGUAUGCUAACAGGGAAGG
This 113-nucleotide ribozyme is filed under the name Aedes aegypti (yellow fever mosquito). RNAcentral describes it as "drz-agam-1 ribozyme". It matches the Rfam family "drz-agam-1 ribozyme". Lineage: Eukaryota; Metazoa; Arthropoda; Insecta; Diptera; Culicidae. The record is from Rfam by way of RNAcentral.